This 514-nucleotide ribosomal RNA is filed under the name uncultured bacterium. RNAcentral describes it as "bacterial SSU rRNA". It matches the Rfam family "Bacterial small subunit ribosomal RNA", at positions 8 to 521 of the family's 1533-position model. The record is from RNAcentral.
AGAGUUUGAUCCUGGCUCAAAUGAACGCUGGCGGCACGCUUUACACAUGCAAGUCGAACGGCAGCACGGGGGCAACCCUGGUGGCGAGUGGCGAACGGGUGAGUAAUACAUCGGAACGUAUCCUUGAGUGGGGAAACGCAGCGAAGUUGUGCUAAUACCGCAUGAACUCUAAGAAGAAGUGGGGACCGUAAGGCCUCACGCUGAGGGGCGGCCGAAGUCCGAUUACUAGUUGGUGAGGUAAAGGCUCACCAAGGGCUUCGAUCGGUAGCUGGUCUGAAGGAUGAUCAGCCACACUGGGACUGAGACACGGCCCAGACUCCUACGGGAGGCAGCAGUGGGGAAUUUUUGGACAAUGGGGGCAACCCUGAAUCAGCCAUGCCCGCGUGAGUGAAAAAGGGGCUUCGGGGGUUGUAAAGCUCUUUCGUGAGGGAAAAAACGGCCAUAGUGAAUAGCUGUGGUUACUGACGGUACCUCAAGAAGAAGCACCGGCUAACUACGUGCCAGCCGCCGCGGU